AGAGUUUGAUCCUGGCUCAGAUUGAACGCUGGCGGCAUGCCUUACACAUGCAAGUCGAACGGCAGCAUAGAAGAGCUUGCUCUUCUGAUGGCGAGUGGCGAACGGGUGACCAAAGCAUCGGAACGUACCGUGUAGUGGGGGAUAACGUAGCGAAAGUUACGCUAAUACCGCAUACGCACUGAGGUGGAAAGCAGGGGAUCGCAAGACCUUGCGCUAUACGAGCGGCCGAUGUCAGAUUAGCUAGUUGGUGGGGUAAAGGCCCACCAAGG
Molecule: ribosomal RNA, 269 nt
Filed under: uncultured bacterium
Lineage: Bacteria
Description: partial 16S ribosomal RNA
Rfam family: Bacterial small subunit ribosomal RNA
Source: RNAcentral